Mesocricetus auratus (golden hamster) is the source of this 1719-nucleotide long non-coding RNA. RefSeq lists it as uncharacterized. NCBI's taxonomy places the organism in Eukaryota, Metazoa, Chordata, Mammalia, Rodentia, Cricetidae. The transcript is spliced from 3 exons. The record is from RefSeq and is a predicted model, not a curated record.
GCCCUGCUGAUUAUGGCGGCCUUGUGAUGGGAUCCACUACAUGACCCAACCAACCAACCCUCCACCUGUCCAGCGCUUCAUCUCUGGUCCACAGGAUAUGGCGAGUGCCUGCUGCUGAGCCUGAAGUGGGGAUGGGCAGCCAAUUGUCCCAAUACUAAAUGUGGAGAAAUCCUGUUUCAAAUGCCAACUGGAUCAUAUGCUUAUAAGAGAUAAAGAGAAGAUCCCAGAAGCCUUGAGAAACCGAAAAGUCAUGCAACAGAGGAUCAAGACUUGGGAUGGCACUGGGCUACUUCUCAUCAACCCAGAAUGCCACAUGCCAAUAAGGACUGCCUUCAGAAUGUGGAGUGGAGAUGAUUUCCAAACGAGAUUUAUACAGCCAGCCAAACUGUCAAUCAAGGAUCCAAAAACUGAACUCCCAUAUGCAGUUUCAAGGAUGCUACUGGCAUGUAUAUUAUAACUAAAAGAAGGCAGUAGACCAAGCAGGAGGGGGGCUUCGGAUCCAAGCACCAAAGAAGAAGUGUGGAAGAGAGGUUAAGGGGUUUCCUGGGAAAAUGGUGGAGGGAAAUUUCAGAAUAUCUACCAUGCAGACAUCUAGGAGGGUGUCUGGUUCAGGUCACGGCAAGAGGACAAAGGGUGUUAAGAAAAACCAAAACAGAAGUGAUCGGUUACCAAAAGAAUCUGAUUGCAUUACUAGAAAUUUUAAAACUGUAUACAUGUUUGUGGGAAGAAUUAGUAAUGUGGCUUUAAAAUGUAAAUGAAAAACAGAGGCAAUUACCAACUCCAGGGAAAACAAAAAGCUGCAUAGUUCAGCAACCACACCUGCAACACCUGAUACAAUGGUUAAUGCUUAUGUUAUCAACUUGACAGGAUCUGUAAUUGCCCAGGACAUAAGCCUCUGUGCCUGUCUGUGAAAUGUUAUCUACAUUAACUUCUGAGGGAUUUUCUUGAUUAGGCUAAUUGAGGUGGGAAGAUCUGCCCUAAAUGUGGGUGACACCAUUCCCUGGGCUGGGAUCCUGGACUCUUAGACCUGGAGAAAGGGAGUUGAGCACCAAGCAUUCAUUUCUUUGCUUCCUGACUGAAGGUGACUCCCUCACUGUGGUGGUGAUACCCUUGAAUUGUGAGUCAAGACAAACCUUCCUCCCUUAAGUUGCUUUGGUCACUAGGAAAGGAAACCCAGAGUCUUUGUUUAGCUGUUAACAACAUGUACAUGGAUCAGGUAGAAGGGGUCUCUGAGUUAGCAACUGUGAUGGGAUUACAUUGGGAGGGGAAGUGUGUGCCUCUGUGUGGUGGCUGCUGUGGAACUAGCAGUCUUCCAUAAGAGGAGGCCAACAAAUAGUAUGUGAAAUCAGAAAAGGAUGGUAUUUAGAAAUAUGAAAGUAAAUGUCAGAGGGAACGAAGAGAGGACUUGAAGUCAUCUCCUCCAAGGAGAGGUGGGUCUGCUGCUUUUCAUUAUCGGUUUCAUGCAACGAUUUGACUUUUACAAUCUCAUAACAAACUAUUGAUCAAAAUGGAAAUUUAAUUUAAAAAUGCCCAUGCAUUUAUGACCUAACUCAGCUUUUGAACCUCUCCUGCUGCUCAGGAAAUGAGCUGACCAGAAUUUUGAAGAUCAAGGGUACAGUCUCUCAGCUCUGUAAAUUGCUAGUCGUAUGGCCCAAGGCCAGUUGCUCAGUCUCUCAGAGUCUCCAUUAGUUCAACUGAGAAGCAGGGGUAAUUCCAGUA